Molecule: ribosomal RNA, 519 nt
Filed under: Mammaliicoccus vitulinus
Lineage: Bacteria; Bacillati; Bacillota; Bacilli; Caryophanales; Staphylococcaceae
Description: bacterial SSU rRNA
Rfam family: Bacterial small subunit ribosomal RNA
Source: RNAcentral
UAGAGUUUGAUCCUGGCUCAGGAUGAACGCUGGCGGCGUGCCUAAUACAUGCAAGUCGAGCGAACAGAUGAGAAGCUUGCUUCUCUGAUGUUAGCGGCGGACGGGUGAGUAACACGUGGGUAACCUACCUAUAAGACUGGGAUAACUCCGGGAAACCGGGGCUAAUACCUGAUAAUAUUUUGAACCGCAUGGUUCAAUAGUGAAAGACGGCUUCGGCUGUCACUUAUAGAUGGACCCGCGCCGUAUUAGCUAGUUGGUAAGGUAAUGGCUUACCAAGGCAACGAUACGUAGCCGACCUGAGAGGGUGAUCGGCCACACUGGAACUGAGACACGGUCCAGACUCCUACGGGAGGCAGCAGUAGGGAAUCUUCCGCAAUGGGCGAAAGCCUGACGGAGCAACGCCGCGUGAGUGAUGAAGGUCUUAGGAUCGUAAAACUCUGUUGUUAGGGAAGAACAAAUUUGUUAGUAACUGAACAAGUCCUUGNACGGUACCUAACCAGAAAGCCACGGCUAACNAAC